This 1020-nucleotide unclassified non-coding RNA is filed under the name Hevea brasiliensis (rubber tree). The record is from RNAcentral. Lineage: Eukaryota; Viridiplantae; Streptophyta; Magnoliopsida; Malpighiales; Euphorbiaceae.
AAAUAUGAGGGCACGGGCUAUUUGUAAAAGAUGUUUGUGUUUACAUUCGACUAUGCCAUUUUGUUGAGGGGAAUAAGCACAAGAUUUUUGGUGAGAAAUUCCUCUAGAUUGAAAUAGAACUUGACAAUUGAAAUUAAUAAACUCGGUACCAUUAUCACUACGGAUAGUGUGAACUUUGGCAUUGUAUUUGGUUUGGUUCAUGUUAAGAAAAGUGAAUAAGGUUUGGUGAGUUUGGGUUUUGUAUGAAGAAGAAAAGUCCAAGUUGUCCUAGUGUUAUCAUCAACUAUAGUGAGCAUAUAAUUGACUCCUGUCAUAGAUGGUACUCUAUAUGGCCCCCAAAGAUCAACGUGUAUGAGUUGAAAUGGAAAAACAGCAUGUGACUGACUAAUGGGAAAUGGGAUACGCUGUUGCUUUGAAAGGUGACAGAUAUCACAGGUAUCAAUUUGUGAUUUUGAUUCUAAAUGUGGUAUAUGCUUCAUGACUUAUUGUGAAAUAUGGCCUAAUCUAUAAUGCCAAAUGGGAUAUUGAGUAAGAUCUCCUUUAUUUGAUGGAAAAGAUGAAGUACAAAGAGUAUUGCAAGCUGUGUUAUUAUAAGCAAUGGUAUGAGUAGAAGGGUUAUACAACAACUUUGAAUUGAAUGAAUCACUAUCCAACCUGUAUAGUCCUCCUGUAUCUUCCCAAUUGCGAUUACUUCUUUAGUCGAGAGGUCCUGCAAAACACAAAGGUUAGGAUGAAAGGUAACAGAUAUGUUGGAGGUUGAAGUGAGCUUACUCACAGACAAUAGGUUGUACUUGAAUUCAAGUAUGUGGAGGACAUUGGUUAAUUUCAAUCUUGGAUGCAAUUGUAUGCAUCCCAAAUGAUGAACAUCCUUAGUCAUUCCAUCAGGUAGAAGAACAGAUGAGGUUUGUUUUAGUUUUGAAUGGCUAGUGAAUAGGGUCAUAUCAAGUGUCAUGUGUGUUGUUGCUCCUGUGUCAAUUACCCAAGCAUCUCUAUUCUUAUUGAAAUAGUUUGAAGAACUAU